RNAcentral lists this ribosomal RNA (407 nucleotides) under uncultured Alphaproteobacteria bacterium. RNAcentral describes it as "bacterial SSU rRNA". It matches the Rfam family "Bacterial small subunit ribosomal RNA", at positions 390 to 812 of the family's 1533-position model. Lineage: Bacteria; Pseudomonadati; Pseudomonadota; Alphaproteobacteria. The record is from RNAcentral.
AGCCAUGCCGCGUGAGUGAAGAAGGCCUUAGGGUUGUAAAGCUCUUUCAGUGGUGACGAUGAUGACGGUAGCCACAGAAGAAGCCCCGGCUAACUCCGUGCCAGCAGCCGCGGUAAUACGGAGGGGGCAAGCGUUGUUCGGAAUUACUGGGCGUAAAGGGCGCGUAGGCGGCCUGUGCAAGUUAGAGGUGAAAGCCCCGGGCUCAACCUGGGAAUUGCCUUUAAAACUGCUGGGCUUGAGUCCGGAAGAGGAUGGCGGAAUUCCCAGUGUAGAGGUGAAAUUCGUAGAUAUUGGGAAGAACACCAGUGGCGAAGGCGGCCAUCUGGUCCGGAACUGACGCUGAGGCGCGAAAGCGUGGGGAGCNAACAGGAUUAGAUACCCUGGUAGUNCACGCCGUAAAGNGAUGU